AUGCACUGAUUAUAUUAUGUGGGUUGCCAUUUAUUGGCAUUCUGCUCUCAAUUUGGUGCAAGAGAAACCUCAGUAUGCAGAAGGGUUGAACUAAGUAGUUUUGUUCCCUCUCGAGUACUGAGCACAGAA
Puntigrus tetrazona (Sumatra barb) is the source of this 129-nucleotide small nucleolar RNA. The record is from RefSeq and is a predicted model, not a curated record. Lineage: Eukaryota; Metazoa; Chordata; Actinopteri; Cypriniformes; Cyprinidae.